This 497-nucleotide ribosomal RNA is filed under the name uncultured bacterium. Its description in RNAcentral is "partial 16S ribosomal RNA". It matches the Rfam family "Bacterial small subunit ribosomal RNA", at positions 28 to 507 of the family's 1533-position model. The record is from RNAcentral.
GAUGAACGCUGGCGGCGUGCCUAAUACAUGCAAGUCGAGCGAACGGACGAGAAGCUUGCUUCUCUGAUGUUAGCGGCGGACGGGUGAGUAACACGUGGAUAACCUACCUAUAAGACUGGGAUAACUUCGGGAAACCGGAGCUAAUACCGGAUAAUAUUUUGAACCGCAUGGUUCAAAAGUGAAAGACGGUCUUGCUGUCACUUAUAGAUGGAUCCGCGCUGCAUUAGCUAGUUGGUAAGGUAACGGCUUACCAAGGCAACGAUGCAUAGCCGACCUGAGAGGGUGAUAGGCCACACGGGAACGGAGACACGGUCCAGACUCCUACGGGAGGCAGCAGUAGGGAACCGUACGCAAUGGGCGAAAGCCUGACGGAGCAACGCCGCGUGAGUGAUGAAGGUCUUCGGAUCGUAAAACUCUGUUAUUAGGGAAGAACAUAUGUGUAAGUAACUGUGCACAUCUUGACGGUACCUAAUCAGAAAGCCACGGCUAACUACGUG